ACGUGCCUGUGUCUUUAAGCCACAGCAAUGGUGCUGUGCCGCACCUGUAUGACGUCACUAGAUGCGACUGAUUUGUAGCAAUUGUUAGCCUCGGAGCUCCUUUAAAAGCACGGCGCUGACGAUGCUAAGGUAAGUGGCAGUUUUUGUUGGUUUGCUCGUCUACCGCGUGUUUUCGUCCUGUUUGGGUUUUCUCCUGUGAGUCGGAGCCUGUAGAGGUCUGUGCCUUGACUGUAAAGGGUGCAGUUGUUGGAGUCCUGCUCCAGGAGUUUGUUGCUGCUUGUUUGCGCUUAUAGUGCGUAUAUCUCAACUGUGAGUGUUGUAAGCCUGAGGCUGUCUUGCAUAGGUUCCUGUGUUCCGGCUGUGUGGUCGGUUGACUGGAAGGUUUCCCCCUUUUUUUUAAAGAAGUUUCUCUGCAUCGCUGCUUGCGCAGGUGACUUCUGCUGCUGAUUUGCUGCUGUUGACUUCAAACCAUUGGGGCCGUCUGCUGACGGCGAGCUGCUGUUUUGUUUCUAGCGAUUUUCUUUAGUGUUUUGUUUCUUUGGCACUGUGUACUCAGUUUUUUUGCAAUUGUUGCGCGGUGUGUACGAUUAGAUCAUCAGCGCGCUAGAAUCAUCAGAGCGGUAAUGUUUGUGCGAGUGCGUGUUUUUGUGGGUAGCUGGUAGUGUGCUUGUGUGUGCGUGUUUGUGUCUGGUGCCAGCGUGUGUUUGUGUGUGCAUGUGAGCAUGUUGGUUUAAUUUUGUUGGUAUAUGUUGUUUUUUUAUUUUUAUUUUUUAUUUUUUUUUGUUCCUGUAUUUUUGUUCAUUUCUUUUUGUGUGUUCUGUUUCAGGAGUUGGGGGAUGCCAGCAGGGAGGCUUGGCACCUGGUGGCUGGGUACCUGUGUCUGUGUGUGUUUCACCUUUCUGGCAGUGUAGUGUCACCUGGGUGUGCUGUGCAGUGUAUAUGUGUGCGCUUCACGUGUGGUCUACAGAAUAACUGAACCCUGGUUGUAUUUACAGUGUUUGCUACUCUCUUUUUUUAUGAAUUGUACUUUUUUUUGAACUCCCCUAGGUGGCGUGGUCGGCAAUCUAAAUUCUUAUUGGUACCUUGGUCUCGCUACACUAGCAAGACCAAAUCAAAUCAUGUUCAAAUCAGUUUUUCCAAACAAAACUCCUUCAGACAUUGUGCUGAACAUCAGAGCAAUACUAGGCAAUUAUGGGCAUCUGUAUGCUUAUGUAUGCUCAUGUAAGAUGACAGUUAGCAUCUCCUCUCAGUGUGUUCAACAGCCCUGUGAUAUAGCAUGAGCAGCAGUGCCUGGGUUCUCCUGGAUUGGAGGAAGAAUGUGUUAGUCCUCACUCUCCCUGAUUGGUAGCUAUUUUGGGAGAAAGCGCGGUGAAUCAUAUGGUAAUAAUCUGUCCAUCUCACUACAGUCUAAAUGUAAACCAGUAAAAGUUAUUUUUAUACUGAACAAUAUUAUAUUGAAUAAUGACAGGCUUUGGAUGUGGAAUCAAAAGAGCAUCAGCAUUUUUCAUUGCCAAGCCUUAAUGUAAGAAUAGAGAAUAGCAAAAGCAGCAGUGUAUGCUUCAUAGAAGAGGUUUAUGUGUGUGUGUGUGUGUGUGUGUGUGUGUGUGUGGUGGGGGGUCUGUCCUCCUCACCCUGCGAGGUUCUGUGUCCUUGCCAAUGUCAAGCACUUGUUUAGAGAUUUGAUCCACCACCCAAUGUUGGAUGAUCAGCAAUGCCGGGCCUGAUCAGCUUUUUAUGUUAGCUUAAUCUUGUCAGUGAAACCUGAUAUAUUCUGUUCUUUUCAGCAACAGAAAUGACCUGCUUCUCAGCCUAUUCAAACAACUGUGAUUCUUGCAGAAUCCAUAAUCAUUUCUAUUAAGAAUUUGAACGUGUGGGAUAUUCUGAAGUGAAGGCACAAUUCUGCAUUCAUCCCAACAUAAGCUGGCCCAUAUGAAUACAGAAUGGCCCCAUUACAUUCCAGCAGCUUCUUUUUUAGCUGACUGAGAAAUGCAUAAGGAAUAGAAUGAGAGAGAGAGAAUCUUUUACAAUUUGAAAGAGAGAGCAGAGACUAUUGGUCUGAGGGGGAGACAAAGCAGUAGGAUCUCAUAUUAGCGCAAAGUCACAAAGACUGCUCUGCAGAGAGCACUUAAUGAAACCAUUUGUAAAAGAGUAUAUAUCUCUCUCAACACUGUCUGCAUUAGAGGGCAUUCAUGCAGAAAUUAAAAAAAAAAUUGAAUGGAGACUUUGAGCUUAAAUGCAUUUAAGGUACAAUUUUGUCAACAUAAGUUGCACUUAUAAUUAGGCUGUCACAAAUAGUAAUUACUUCCAAUUAUUUUAAGCUGGUAAAUAAGAGCAGAAAAAAUACUGUAAUGAUUAAACCUUGCUGUUUUUUGGUUGAGAUCCAUGCAGACAAUAUGUUUGCAUGUACAGUAUAUGCAGAAAUUUUCAGGUAAAAGGAAACUUUAUUGCAUGGCAACCAAAUGAUUAAGGACCAAUGCAUGUAUGUGACUUGAAUGCCUAUAUCUGUUUGCCUGUCAAUAGUGCACACUUUUUUUAUAUACGGUAUAUAUAAAAAAAUUCCCCUUAGCGCUACAGACUAAGCGAGUACUUGUAAAUCUUUGACUACAAAGCACACAUUUCAGCACAGAGUCUCUUUGGAGACCAUAAGUCUGCAGGUUUAGAAGAGUACACUUGAAUGCUAUAAAUCUGGAUCAGUACAUUUGUUCUCUCCCAGAUGUACCGCUCUCGUUCAAAUUGCUAGACUGCAGAGUGGAUUUUUUUUCCACUGAAAUUAUCAUGAAAAUCCACUUAAAUGUCCCCCUAUACCUAGUCCCUAUAAAUGGGGACUGUUUUAUUACUUUCAGUCAUUACAGUAUUGGAGAAAUACUGCAAAAAUGACAUCUUAGCAUGUGAAAAUAUCUUGAAUAGAUCUAGUAUUUCCUAUUAUAAGAUUACUAUAAACUAAAUAUAAGACUAUUAAAACUAUUUCUAGAUAUUUUUACUGAUUUCAAGUUUUAAAUUUUCAUAUUUUAUUGGCAGAAACUGUUGCUUCUUUUAAGAAAUAAAUGCUUAAAAUUAGCCAUAUUAUCACAAAUGCAAAAUGUCUCAAAAGGUUUAAUAAUCUUAUAUUUGGGAUAUUGACAGCCAUCCAUCCAUCCAUCCAUUUUCUGGACCGCUUAUCCUACACUGGGUCGUGGGGAGCCUCGAGCCUAUCCCAGGAGACUCGGGAUACAAGGCGGGGACACCCUGGAUGGAGUGCCAACCCAUCGCAGGGCACAAUCACACGGCACAAUCACACACAGACAUUUACACACCCAUUCAAACACUACAGACAAUUUAGAGAUGCCAAUCAGUCUACUCUUUGGACUAGGCAGGAACCCGGAGUACCCAGGGAAAAUCCCCAAAGCACGGGGAGAACAGGCAAACUCCACAGAGUGGAGGCAAACGUGCCUCCCUGGUAUUGACAUAUUUGGAAUAUUUUCUUUAAAAAUAUUAUGGCUAUAUAACCAAGCAAUUUACAUGUUUAUUUGCAUGAUUAUUGGCAUUGUGCCCAAGUUUCAUAGAGUGAUACCACUGACACCAAAACUCCAGAACACUACCAGUUGGGAAAGUAACUGAUUCCUCAACAUGGACAGCACCCUGUGAUAAAGAAGACAAAACAAAUGCAUAUGCAGCUGAGCCAUGCUGGAAUCAAGUGUGCAUCCUUGGAGACUUCUCAUCAGUGUAAUCACACAUGGCAAGUGGCUCAUGAGAAGGAGGACAAAAACAAUUAUUGGAGAAGACAGCUGAGAAGAAAGAUUGAGCAAUGACAUUUAUUGUUUACAUCUAGCUCUCCUCUUUGUUUGCUUCUCUGAAAUUCUGCUGACUAAGUUUGGACUCCAGCCCGGUUAUAAGCUCUGACCCACUGACAGCCAGACCCAGAAGGGAUGGAUGGAAACCCCAGUGUAAGGCAAGUUCCAAGGGGUGCCUUAUGCCCCCACAGGAAGAUGACCAUGCAUCUGUUGUUCCACAGAGACACAGCUGUUAUGCAUGGUAAGUGUGGAGGGAUAGCCAGUCUGGGAGUUAGUUGCUUUAGGUAGCAUGAUCAUGCUGCUGCAUCCCUCCAUGCAGGACAUAUGCUUUAUCUCUCUGGCAAAUCUCUAGUCCAAAAUCCAAAGCAGAAACACAGGCAAAGGUAGGCACACAAUAAAUCAAUACAUUCGAGGAAAAGGGCAAAUGCAGAAACUCAGAAACAAGAUAAACAAGACAAGGGUUAUACACAGAAUAUCAGUCAAGGCACAAACCUCUCAGAUCUUACAAUAAUGAACAUCCUGGAAGGAACAUCUGUCCCCUGCAAAAUGCUCAAGACUAUCUCUCAAGACCAAAAAAACAAGUAUUACUGCCCAUUCUUUAAAAAAAAAAACACAUCGAAUGAUGGCAGCUAAUGAGCGAUAUCACUUUUUCUUUUCAUAAUUUGAACAAUUAGUUGUCUCUCAACAGGAUAUUCUCAGUUAAGCAGUUCGUUUGAGACAGACUGUUAUGGAGAAGUGUAGACACCACUAGAUCAGUCAACACUGCAAAAGAAUUACAUCUUAGUAAGUGGAAAUACCUUAGUAAGUGGAAAUACCUUAGUAAUAUAGUCAUAUUUAGCUAGUAUUUCCUAUUAUAAGAUUUUAAUAAAGCAAAUAUGAGAUUAUUAAGCUUAUUUCUAGUCAUGUUUACUCAUUUUAAACUUGAAAUGGUCUACUGGCAGAUGAUUUUGCUAAUUUUGGGGCAUUUAUUUACAAAAAGAAGCAAAAUUCUCUGACAAAAAAAUAAGAAAAUUUGAAAUUUGUAAAAAAAAAAAUCUAGAAAUAGGUUUAAUAAUCUUUGAUGUAUGAUAAUAAUAAUUGAUAAUAAUAAUGUUAAGUUACUGUAUGGCAGGAAUUCUCUCAGGUUGCUGGAAGGAUGGUGAAGGAAGCAUGAAAGCAGGAAACCCAUUUAUAGUGCUAUCUUGUUUAAGACGUGGAGGUAGGGCUGCCAACCCUGGAGGUAAGAUAGGUAGGGUUGCCAAUCCUCACAGACUGGCAGAAAGAAAUCAAUAAUUAGCCUCUGUUUUCUGUGAUGGAAAAAAAGGAUUCUUGGAUACAUACAUACAUACAUACAUGGUCCAUGUACUUUUGCGUCCAUUCCUUUUUCCUUUUUUAACCAUGACGAUAAAAAUAAAAAUAUUUAUUUUGUAUAUAAAAUAAUAAAUUAAACAUUUAACAUUUAUAAUAUGUAUUUUGCUGAAUAUCAACAUUGAAAUUAAAACUGUACACACAAAAUGCUCCACACAAAAUAAAAUAUUGACUUCUUUUAAGAUUUUUGUUUAUGACUUUUUGCACCUUUAUUAAACAUUUUAAAAAAACACACAAAUUUAUAUUGAAAAAAUUUCGAUUUUACAAGUUUUCUUUGCCCAAAUUUGACACCCAUAAAUUAUGGUUCUCCCGCAUUUUCAAAUGAGCACUUAGAGCCAUGUCUCUGGAACUAUACACAGAGGUAAUUUGUGACAUGAUUUUAAAACAAAAAACACACACGGACAUUGCAGAUCACCUGUUUCAACUAGGUCAAUCAACCACUGCUCUAAAACGUAGGUGUUUAAACUUUAAAGUUUAAACUUUGCCGGUUACAUGCUGCAACAAUCCGAUUGAAAUAAUGGGAGAAGCGCAUACAUAAAUUGAAGGGGGUGAAAUAGUUGGUCAUUUGCAUAUUUUUUAUUAUUAUUUGUUAUUACUGUUGUGUCCUUGAGCAAGGCACUCAACCCCAGGUUCCAGUGGAAUUGUCCCUGUGUACUUGAAUUUGCUUUAGAUAAAAGCAUCUGCCAAAUGUAUACAUGUGAUAUGUAAUAUUUCACUGAAUUUGUUCCAUCAUUCUAGGACCAACCUACGGUCGUAAGUUGACGACAGAUUAUUUGGUGGCAAAAGGAAUUCGAGCUGCUGAAAGUCAGCAUAUCAUUUAACGCCUGCUGUAAUCAACAAUGGAAUGUGGGAUGGGCCACAGAAAAGAGUUCUUUGUCUCAGAACUUCUUGACUGUUUAUUCAAGAAAUCCUUGCUGAGCACAGACUGAAUACAGAAACACCACCAUAUCGUCAGACCCAAUCAAAAAAUCAAACCUUGAGGUGGAUGGGCUACAACAGCAGAAGACCACAGUGAGUUCCACUCCUGUUUUACAAGAACAGGAAUCUGAGGCUAUCAUGGGCACAGACUCAUCAAAACUGGAUGGUUGAAUAUUUAAAAAAAAAAAAAAAUCACCUUGGUCUUUGUCCAGUGUUGAACUGUCCAGUUUGGGUUCAUUUGUUUUAUAUUUUGAAGUCUAAUAUGAAAUUUAAGAUAACUGAAAUGACCUUUACUACUUCAUUUAAUAUUGUCAUACUGUAAUUAAUCUUGCAAAAAGUAGUUCAAAACAUUAUCAUUUAAUAGUCAUUUAAUGGGACUAGGCAUAAUAUAAACAGGGAUUACAUUAAGGAGAGUUUAGAGGUAAUAAUUUGUGUUAUGUUGCACCACUUACUUUAAAAGAUGACUUAACUAAUCAGCAAUUGAAAUCUUAACCUGUGAUUAAUACCUUGUCCUGAAAUUAAUUUUGAUUGCCCACCAUGAUGGAUUCAAGUUGACAGUAAUGGUGUUAUUCUUGAGACUAAUCAUCACACUUUUUCCCCUUCCCUUUUAAGUAAAUGUAACAUAGGCCUACAGAAAUGCAAAUGAAUGUACAAUGUGCUUCCAUUCUGCAAAUUUAAACUAUAACUGCAGGUUUAUGGUUGGAUCAUGUCCGUUAUUUUUCUGUGUGGAAUUCACUGUUGAUGCUUUAACUACUGAGGGCUAUGAUCUUCACAUAUGAAACCACCACAUGGCAGUUCAGAAUUAAUACUUGAUUAGGUUAAAUCUGACUCUGUGGUGUUCUUGCACCACAGGUUUAACAGCUAAACCUUGGUUUUAACUAAUUUAGGACUACAUCACUGUUGGUGCAAACCAAAUCUUGAUUAGUUUUUCAAGGCCUAGGGGUCCUGGAGACCCAUUGUCCUGCAUAGUUUUAACUAUUCCUUGCAACAUACCUGAUUCACCUCACACCGUAAUUAUCCAGCCCUUCAUGAGGGGUUUAGGUGUGUUUAGAAAAUUGUAAACUAAGCAGUGCUGCAUAUCACCAGGAGCUGGAUUAAAACACUAAAUAACAAACAUAUAUACAAUGCUAUAUGUUUUACUACCUCAUAAAAGGUAUUGGCAGGUAUUUGAAGUACAGGAGAAUCAAGUCAUACAAUAAUAGCAAAUUCUGCUGCAAUUAUUAGCAAAUAAAAUAAACCAACAGUUUUCAUUAAAGUUACACAAUUAACAUUUUAAUGAACUUUGUGAAAGUUCUUUCUGUUUGAGAGGUGCUGAGUUAAUGUUACCUAAAUUUCCUAGCUAGUUAGGAUCAUUGCAUCCUGGAAUUACCCCUAAAUUACCUCAGUUAAUUGGUAUUCUUUCUAAUUACAUUUAUUUUAAAAUAAAUUUAGCCAAACCAAACAAUACCAGACUAAACAAAUUACUUGUACACUUUUACAUCACAUUAAAUUUUGAGUUAGGCUAGCUCGCUAAAGCAGGUCAGUUCAUCCAGUUAGCUAGCUAGACAUAAACUGAGUUAAUUAAUUGGCUAUCCAUAUCCAUACCAUUUAAGUCACAUGUGUCAAACACAACCCCCUCAGACCAGCACCUUUUCAUUUGGCCCAUGUGAACCUGGAAAAAAAAAAUAGUGAAAUGGCCCGCAGUUGGCCUAUGCUACUGCUCAACAUUUUCACACAAUCCAGAAUUCACAGCAGAUUGAUGGCGUAUCGAACGCAAUUGUACAGCGCACAAACCCAUCUCAUGCUGCUUAAUUAAAACCGAUGAUUGAAAGCCUUUUUUUCUGCUCUUUAAAAUAUCCGAAGGGUAGUUACCAUAAACUACCCUGUGUUGUGCUGGCAGUGGCGUAUCCAGAAAUUAAUUUCAGUGGUAUGAGGAAAUAUACAAAAUACAAUCACAGUUGUCUUCCUGAUCUGUACAAUUAAAUUUUUACCACCAAACAGUCUUCCCAUAUUAAUAAUAUUGCCAUAAAAUACCUUUAUGGCCAUUCCACUGAAACGGCACUCUCAGGCACUGAAUCCAAAUACCUUCACCUGAGAGUCUUGCCAACAUAGUCUGGUUUGAUGUGCAGCUGCAUAUGGGAUGCAGAGCAAAAGAGGGCAACCGCCAACUGAAGCCAGAAUCAUAUAUCAUUUAAUUUUUGUUACAGUGCAGCUUGGUUGCUCUACACUGUAACAAAAAUGAUAUUGCUGGCAAGUGAAAACAGCUAGGGGAAAGUGAGCAUAAUAGUUGCUGAUGGUAGAUACACAUGUGGCUACAAUGUAACUGCAACAUGAUUAGAACAAUUUUUUUCUUUCUCCUAAGGUUAGGUAUACUAGAGAGGCCAUGGGGAUGAACAUCCUUGUGAAUCGUCCCUGCAAUCUUACUGGUGCCCAAACUACAAUGAGAGAAGUUGCUGGAGCAAUAUCCUUGCUUCUGGCACUGCAUUAGUAAAAGGCAACUGUCUAGAGUCAAAUAGUACUGUACCAGUAAAAAGUUACUUUAACACGUACCACGUUGUUGCGGACCAAGUACACCCCUUCAUGGCAACGGUAUUCCCUAAUGGCAGUGGCCUCUUUCAGCAGGAUAAUGCGCCCUGCCACAUUGCAAAAAUUGUUCAGGAAUGGUUUGAGAAACAGGACAAAGAGUUCAAGGUGUUGACUUGGCCUCAAAUUCCCCAAUCCGAUUGCAUCUCUCAAAUCGCUCUUCAAUGGCCAUUAGUAGGCAUUCCUAUCUUUACUUACCACCAGUUGCCAUGGUUUCAUAGGUAGCCUGAGGCUAGUGGUCACACAAAUGAUAGUGCUAUCUACAGACUAUAGGUGAUCCUGCCCAUUUGAGCACAAAUCAAAGUCAAAACAUGUCUUCAAGCUAAAACUGACAAGUCUCCAUUUUGUCUGCAAAAUACCAAUACUCAGGGGAAAUGCUCAUGUAUAAAUCAUGUGCAUUACUAUACUUGUUGGACAGUUCCAUGCUGCAUCACAUGACCACAGCUCAUUCCUUCAACUCAAAUGAGGCUAAAUGGAAAUGUGAUCAUUGGACAUUUUAAAACUUGAAGUUAAUCCAAAGAAAGAUUCUUAAACUGUUAAGGGGAGAAGAUAAUUUUCGAAACAGAUGCAAAAUUGUGCAAUGGAUGCAAAAAAAAAAAAAAAAAAUAGAUUUUGUGCAAAGUAAUGAAGUGCAACUCAUGCAAAAAACAGCUCCAGGGAGAUGGGUAACCAUGGUGAAAAUAAUAAUUGCACUGUGUUUAAAAUUCUGUUUCAGCUUCCGUCUGGAAGGGGUCUAUGCUUUUUACCCCCGUUUAUCUCUUCAGCAGCACCUGGACAUAAGGUUUUUGUUUUGUGUCAAAUAUAGGAUUGUAUAAAUCGAAUAGGAUCAGAAAUUAAUGAAAUGAUUUAACUAAUACUAAUGCUGGUUACUAAAGCAACAGCUAGCAUUCAAGAUAAAAUAUAAAUAGUAACUAUAAAAUCUUCAGAUUUUCUCAGGGACUGAUAGUAAAACAAACUCAUCUUAUUUAGCAUUGCUGGCAUUGCUGGCAGCAGGAUGACUAACUAUGAUGACAUUGAGAAAAGUAAAGGCAUUUUCAAUAAGUGAUUUCAUUUUUUAACUCAAAAAUUAAGUUUACCUAGCAGCUACAAAAUUAUUUUUAUUUAACUUAAAGCUUAAUAAGUUACUUAAUAAGCUUAAAACUUUAAGGGAAGCUGGGUUUUUUUUAAAAGAUAUACAGCUGUAAAAUGAACAGAAAAUGCAGUCAAAACAUUGACAAGGAUAGAAAUGAUAAUUUUUGCUUGAAAUAAGAAUUUUUUCCUUCAAAUUUUGCUUUUGUCAAAGAAUCCUUUGCCUUGCAGACCUUUGGCAUUCUUGCUGUCAAUGUUUUGAGGUAAUCUGAGGAAAUUUCACCCCAUGCUUCGUCACACACCACCCACAAGUUGGAUUGGCUUGAUGGGCACUUUUUUACAAACCAUACAUUCAAACUGCUCCCACAACAGCUCUAUAGGGUUGAGAUCAGGAGACUGUGCAGACCAGUCCGUUACAGAAUAUCAGCUGACUGCUUCUUCUCUAAAUAGUUAUUACAUAGAUUGGAGCUGUGCUUUGGGUCACUGUCCUGUUGUAGGAAGAAAUUGGUUCCAGUCAAGCACCAUCCACAGGGUAUGGCAUGACAUUGCAAAAUGCAGUGAUAGCCUUCCUUGUUCAAGAUGCCUUUUAUCAUAUAUAACUCUCCCAUUUUAGCACCACCAAAGCACCCCAUACCAUCACCUUUCCUCCACCAUGCUUCACAGAUAGUGUCAAGCACUCCUUCAGCAUAUUUUCAUUUAUUCUGCAUCCCCAAAUGUUCUUCUUUGUAUGACUGAUGAGUUUCAGAAGGGAGUUCUUUUUUAUGGCCAUUUUGAAAUAAAUUGAAGAUAUAAUCAAACCCAAAAAUGCUGAUGCUCCAGAUACUCAACUAGCCUAAAGAAGGCCACUUUUAUUGCUUCUUUAAUCAGCAUAACGGUUUUCAGCUGUGCUAACAUAAUUGCAAAAGGGUUUUCUAGUGCACAAUUAGCCCUUUAACAUGAUAAACCUGGAUUAGCUCUCACAGUGUGCUGCUGGAACACAGGAGCGAUGGUUGCUGAAAAUAAUCCUAUUUACACCUAUGUAGAUAUUCCAUUAAAAAUCAGUUUCCUGCUAUAAUAGUUAUUUACAACAUUGACAAUGUCUUAGACUGUAUUUGUGAUCAAUUUAAUGUUGCAUAUUUGACACUAGUAAUAUAAAAUAUAUAAUGGUCCAUCUAUGUUUAUCUGAAUAUUUCAACAGAAUACACAAUAAACUGAAUUGCCUGUUUAUUAGGUGCCCUGUCUUGUAACUAGACUUGCUGCAUGCCCUGCAUAAGACAAUACAGUGUUUUCACAGAGGAAAAACACUCGGUUGGCAGUUUAUUACCCUUUACCAUAUAGCAUAUAGCUACACUCACUGGCCAAUUUAUUAGGUACACCAAACCAUAUAAGUGCACUUUUAUGUUUAAAAUUACUGACUGUAGCCUGUCUGUUACUGCACAAUAUAUCUGCCCUCUUCUACCUUGACCAUCAGUGCAAAGGCACCACCAGUAACAAGAUAUCAUUUGGGUGGUGGGGGCAUGAAAGUGUGUAUGGUGCUGGUGCAAGUGUAUCAGACACAGCCAUGUUGCUGGGGUUUUAACACAAAUCAGUAUCACUGCUGUGGUGUGAGUGAUCCAUUACCCAAAAAUAUCCAACAAAAAGUGUCUCUGUGGUCAGAAACUGACCCCUGAUGAAGGACUAGAGGGUGGCACAAGUUGGGCAUCAGCAGGCUGCAGUUUCUAACUGAACACCAGCAAUGUGGAGCUACUAGGGAUGGGUUCUAAUAACAUGACUAUUGAGUGUACACAGUGAUUAAUAAUCCUAACAGUAUUGAUGUGCCUGAUAAAUGUGUUCUAAUGCAACAUCCACUUUCAUGCCACUACCAUGUCAGUGCCACUGCUCUACUGAUUGUGCUGAGAAUGGUUCACUACCCAGCAACAGUCAUUAAGUGAAACCUAUAAAGUGCACUCUUAAAACAGGUGUGUUAAGUACAAUGCAGGUGCACCUAAAAAAAAGGUAACUAUGCGUAUAUUUAACCUUUGUUAAAACCUUGCACUGUGUUAUGCAAAGCAUGUAUGUUUCAUCAUUUUUACAGUACAACUGUGGACGAGUAUGUUCUGCCUGGUGAUGGAACAAGAAGUAGGUGCUAGGAAUUCUGGAAGUGAGCGCUACCACUCAGAAGCCCAUACAGAAAAUUGUCUCAGGCAGGUCAAGUGAGCAACUCCUACUUAUUGUGAGAUGCUAUGUGAGGAGAGGUACCAGUGUCAUAAAUGAUGAGUAGCAAGCAUAUAGAGGUCUUUCAGAUCUUUGCUCUGACCACUAUACUGUUUGCCACAAAAGAAGUUUUGUGCAUCCUCUCAGCAGGGCCCACACUCAGCACCUAGAGAAGGCAUGGCAAAAAUUUAAGGCUCAUGUGUGGUGACACCAAACACACACAAAAUUAAAACACAAAGCUUCUAAAAGAAUACUUAAAGGUUACAGAAUGGGAACCUCUAAAUUUUCUCAGACUUUAUUUAAAAAUAUAUUUGAAUAGUGUUUUUGUCAAGCUGUUAAAAAACAUGUAAAACAUUCUUUUGAGUAUGUAUUUUUCCUAAACUGAAUGAA
Long non-coding RNA from Pangasianodon hypophthalmus (striped catfish), 12227 nucleotides. RefSeq lists it as uncharacterized. The transcript is spliced from 3 exons. The record is from RefSeq and is a predicted model, not a curated record. Lineage: Eukaryota; Metazoa; Chordata; Actinopteri; Siluriformes; Pangasiidae.